CACUGAGAAAGUAACUUUUUACAGUGUGUUCUAACUCAAUGACCAUAGAGAGCAUGUACACACGCUAAAUACUGUUAUUGAAAACAAAGUACCCGGUACUUGAUACAUACUAAUCAAUAGCAGCUUGGCAGCUGUUUUCAACGGAUUACUGUAUACAAACACACAUCUGGCUUUAAAGUUUACCCUCCAAAGGCAAAGGUGCAGCGUAAAGGAACAUGACUAAACUUUGCCAACCUUUUGGGAACAUUUAACAAAAAGAGCAUACCACUAAUUUGUGUAGCUGUAAUGUAGUGAAAGUUUCUUGUAUUUGGAGAGAGAUGGGGAGGGUACAAAUUACUCCCCCUCGACUAUCAAUGAGAGCAGGAGCUGUAAGUGAGCUAAAUGUAAGGCAGCUCCCAUGAAGAGUGAAACUCCCGCUUAGGAAGACCUGUGUGUGUGUGUGUGUGUGCACGCGUGUAUGGGCAUAUCAGACACACACACCCUUCACAGUAGCAGAGGACAGCUCAUCUGAAAGAGACAACGAGUAGCGGCCGGUUUCCCACCGGAACUUUUUAUGAUGAUUUCCGAACAACAAUCACCCUGCACCUAAGCGAUCCCGCGCCACGCUUUGCCGCAACUGCACAACCCUUAGCGGGCAGUCCGCUCCCGGUGUCCCCGUUUGCACUGCAGCUCCACGCACCGACUGCAAAGGCAGCGCGACCCCAGCAAACUCUCCUACAUCUCGUCCACCGACUCCCCCACGCUUAGCUGCCCUUAGCCUCGCGCAACUCACAAACGCGUCCUCCCAUGCCCAGAAGUUAAAGCCCCUUAGAAGCCGCCGGGGAAAUAGGCGGGCAGACAGACUGGUGCGCCCGAGACAGGAUCGCUCACAGCUGCCCGGUUAAGGGGAGGCGGCGAGGGACCCAGAGUGGCUCUCGGGACUGGGUGGGGUGAGCCCGCAGGCGAAGGAGGGAGAGGAGAGGAGAGAAAGAGACCGCCGUGUACUUGCCCAGGGAAUUUAAGCAACAACAAAAAAGCCACAGAUGAAUAGCAGCCUCUUUGGACAUUGACUGCUCCAGGCGACUCCAAGUGCUGGGAAAUCUGAGGAGGCAACAAAUCUGGGAGGCACCUGCUGCUUGUUGCCGUCUUGAGUGGCUGCUGGGCUCCACAGAUUGCAGUUCCCAUGUACAGAGCUGGAGGGAACGUGCCAGUGGGUGGUGUAGUGAGGUGUUUGUGGUACAUAGGAAAGAGUUUGUUUGUACUAUGAAGGAGGAUACAGCACACACAAGUGAAACUCUUCUGUGGGUCCUUGUAGAUGCAGAAGUAUCAAGCAUGGGGACCUAUAAUAAACUUUUCUACAACUUUUUACCUGUAAA
Chrysemys picta bellii (western painted turtle) is the source of this 1355-nucleotide non-coding RNA. The record is from RefSeq and is a predicted model, not a curated record. Lineage: Eukaryota; Metazoa; Chordata; Testudines; Emydidae.